AUGCUCACUUUGGCAGCACAUAUACUAAAAUUGGAAUGAUACAGAGAAGAUUAACAAGGCCCUUGUGCAAGGAUGACAAGCAUAUUCAUGAAGCGUUCCAUAUUUUU
Small nuclear RNA from Ochotona curzoniae (black-lipped pika), 107 nucleotides. Lineage: Eukaryota; Metazoa; Chordata; Mammalia; Lagomorpha; Ochotonidae. The record is from RefSeq and is a predicted model, not a curated record.